AAGCCCUGAUCACUCAUCAGAGCAGUCACGCAGCGGCAGUAGGCACAGAGAGGCACGUGGGACUGUCAUCAGCAGAUCACCCUGUGGUCCCCAUCUGCACCAAGGAGAGCAGCAGGCAUUAGUGGCAGGAGAAGUGUUCAGAUCCCCAAGCUCUGGCUACUUACUGAGGUGUGGAUCUUCCUAGAGAUGAAAAUGUUUCGAUGUUGCAAUUCAUGAGGCAUAAGAUUUUAAAAUGUAAAAGAGGACCCCAAGAGAUGGCUCAACAGGGUUGAGGAUUGAACUUAGGGCUUCACGUGCUAAGCAAGUACCAUACCGUGGAGCUGCAGAGACAGGGCUGCUUUCAGUUGUCCAGGCUGGUGUUGAACUGGUGGUCUUCCAGCAUCGGGAGGAGGUUCACAGAGGUGCACAGCGGACGAAAGAACGAGAGACCAAGCUGGGGUGCGGCCUGCCUCCACGAUGUUAACGACCUCACUUGGAUCCAUUAUCUCUUGGCAGCUGAAUUUCACACAGACUGCAGACCGAGGGGCUGUUCCUCUCCAGGUGUUGCCGUUGUGUCCUGGGCUCCGCCUGUUGCCUGGCAUUGCUGCCCAGACCACCUCCUUCUACGGGGAGAAGAGAGUCACUGGUGCAUUCCAGAAGUCUCUCUGCAUACCUGGAAGCCUGUGAGCCUUUCCUGAUGAAAUUAGAUCUACUUCAGCUCUGACAUCAGGGCUCCUGCUGAGGAAACAUAAAGCCAAAAGCAAGAGGCUCUGAAGCUGUCCCUGCACAGGAGGUCAGGGGAAAGAUGGUUGGGUAGCCACCCUCAGACGGAAGGUCCCAGGAUGUGGUGACUGGAGCUGGAGCUCAAACCUGGAUCCUCAGCCACUGUUGCUUUAAACGUAGGGGCUUUGGGGAAAUUGAUGUGAGUUGUGCCCUCGGUUUACCCUCUGUGACGGGCACCUCCAGAAUGUUCACUUUGUGGGUUGGUGUUUCUACAGGCUUGUCCAGGGGGAAGGGUGGGGAAAACGUUCUCUCAGUGCCGGGAGGGAAAAAUUUUCCCCUAUUGAAUGGUCACUUGUUAUCUGCCCAACCCAUCAGCACCAAACUCACUCAGCCUGAAUCAUCCUAGGGGUGAAUUCUUCUGGGUGGCCCUAAAGGAGCCACUGUGCUGUGGGACAGUCUGCCCUGCUCCCUCGUGUGGAAUCUGGGACUGGGGACCUGGAGGGAAGGAUCCAGUGUUCGCCUUGGUGCGUCCAUAGACUUCUCUACUGUCCCCUGUGGUCAUCCCUCUGCCCACCCUUUGUUCUUCCUCCCUAGUACAUCAAGAGCAGCUGCUCCCUUAACCUGGCCCCAGCCCAGCAGUUUCUCCACCUUGAGGUUCCUGGGGUCUCCUAAGGUCCUGCCUGUCAAUGACCCUGUAGUUAGAGAACUCUUCUAGUCUUGUCUGUGGCAGCUGUGAAUCCACCCACGUUGUUCAGGGGAGGGCCAAGGACUUCUGGGACUUUGGCUGGACCCUCUGGUUGUUGCUGCCUAUAGCCUAAGACCCUUCUCUCUGAUUCCUUCACUGGGCUCUACUUACCCCAGUGUUGGGCUCUUCUGGGCGAAUCUUGGGAAUGUGGACUGAGGAGCACACUCAUGCCUCCACUGCGGAGAACACCCAUGGAAGCUCUGGGGACAUGGGCAGUCCUUGGUGUGAAGGAGCCUGAUAAUGGUUUGGAUGCGCAUAACUAAAGCCAUCUCUAGCUGGGAAUCACAAAUCCUUUUGCUGCUGGGGCAGUGGUUUGCCCUGUGAUCACCGAUUUUCCUCCCUCCCUUCUUUCCUCCCUCCCUCCCUUCCUUCUUCCUUCUUUCCUUCCUUCCUUUCAUGAACUUUUUCCAAAAAAAAUCUUUUUUAAAGAUUUAUUUUUAUUUUUCGCUUCUAUAUUGCAUCCCAACCACAGCUUCCCUUCCCUCCUCUCCUCCCUGUCCCUUUUCCACUUCCCCUCUGCCCCAGAUCCACUCCUCCUCCAUCUCCCUUCAGAAAAAGGAAGGCCUCCUAGGGACAUCAACUAAAUAUGGCAUAUCAAGUCACAAUAGGACUAGACAUGUCCCCUCAUAUCAAGG
Non-coding RNA from Myodes glareolus (Bank vole), 2082 nucleotides. NCBI's taxonomy places the organism in Eukaryota, Metazoa, Chordata, Mammalia, Rodentia, Cricetidae. The record is from RefSeq and is a predicted model, not a curated record.